RNAcentral lists this small RNA (135 nucleotides) under Pseudomonas indica. Lineage: Bacteria; Pseudomonadati; Pseudomonadota; Gammaproteobacteria; Pseudomonadales; Pseudomonadaceae. The record is from RNAcentral.
UGUGCCGACGGACUGGCACGGGUUGGCAAGGAUGUCGACCGGGACAUCGCGGGAUGCGAUUCAUCAGGAUGAUGAGCAAGGAAAUCAAGGAAUAGGGACAAAAGAGUGGGCGGGGUUUACCCCGCCCCUUUUUUU